AUGCACUGGCGGUUCGGCGAGUCUCUCUGACGACUCGCUGAGCAGCCCCCGGGAAACCAAAGUCUUUCGGUUCCGGGGGAAGUACGGUUGCAAAGCUGAAACUUAAAGGAAUUGACGGAAGGGCACCACCAGGAGUGGAGCAUGCGGCUUAAUUUGACUCAACGCGGGAAAGUUCACCCGUCCCGGACACUGUCAGGAUUGACAGAUCAAGAGCUCUUUCUUGAUUCAGUGGAUAGUGGUGCAUGGCCGUUCUUAGUUGGUGGAGCGAUUUGUCUGGCCAAUCCCGAUAACGAACGAGACUCUGGCCUACUAACUAGUGACGGCGUGGUCUUUUCGCCGAGCACUUCUUAGAGGGACCAGCGGCGGUACAAAGCCGCACGAGAAAGAGCAAUAACAGGUCUGUGAUGCCCUUAGAUGGGCGGGGCUGCACGCGUGCUACACUGAUGGCAUCAA
This 453-nucleotide ribosomal RNA is filed under the name Eucoleus aerophilus. RNAcentral describes it as "SSU rRNA". It matches the Rfam family "Eukaryotic small subunit ribosomal RNA", at positions 1041 to 1515 of the family's 1831-position model. The record is from RNAcentral. Lineage: Eukaryota; Metazoa; Nematoda; Enoplea; Trichinellida; Capillariidae.